AACGAACGCUGGCGGCAUGCCUAACACAUGCAAGUCGAACGAGACCUUCGGGUCUAGUGGCGCACGGGUGCGUAACGCGUGGGAACCUGCCUUUAGGUUCGGAAUAACUCAGAGAAAUUUGAGCUAAUACCGGAUGAUGUCUUCGGACCAAAGAUUUAUCGCCUUUAGAUGGGCCCGCGUUGGAUUAGCUUGUUGGUGGGGUAAAGGCCUACCAAGGCGACGAUCCAUAGCUGGUCUGAGAGGAUGAUCAGCCACACUGGGACUGAGACACGGCCCAGACUCCUACGGGAGGCAGCAGUGGGGAAUAUUGGACAAUGGGCGAAAGCCUGAUCCAGCAAUGCCGCGUGAGUGAUGAAGGCCUUAGGGUUGUAAAGCUCUUUUAACCGAGAUGAUAAUGACAGUAUCGGGAGAAUAAGCGCCGGCUAACUCCGUG
RNAcentral lists this ribosomal RNA (433 nucleotides) under uncultured bacterium. RNAcentral describes it as "partial 16S ribosomal RNA". It matches the Rfam family "Bacterial small subunit ribosomal RNA", at positions 29 to 507 of the family's 1533-position model. The record is from RNAcentral.